Episyrphus balteatus (marmalade hoverfly) is the source of this 2505-nucleotide RNA transcript. It is a transcript of the gene named anaphase-promoting complex subunit 4, with no coding region annotated. NCBI's taxonomy places the organism in Eukaryota, Metazoa, Arthropoda, Insecta, Diptera, Syrphidae. The transcript has 10 exons. The record is from RefSeq and is a predicted model, not a curated record.
CAUUUGAAUUUGUAGUCUCGUAUUUUUGUAUAUUUAUUUAGCCGGUCUAUAAUUUAAUACAUUUAAUAAAAAUUGUAAACAAAUUUACUUACAAAAAUGACUCAAGUUAAUGCCAUGAAACAAAUUGGUUCCCGUAACAUGGGUUUUCGUGUCGAAAUUAUGGAAUGGAGUAAUAAAAUGGAUCUAAUUGCAAUAGGAAACGAUAAAGGUGAAGUCAUAAUCCAUCGUCUCAAUUGGCAAAAAAUCGUCACAUUCCCAGCACCUGCAGACAAUUCCAAAGUAAGAGCCUUAACUUGGCAGCCAGAUGAAACAAUGAUUGCUGUUGGCUAUAGCAGUGGAAAAGUAUCACUGUUAGACGUCGAAAAGGAAGAAGAAGUCUUCUCCCUUGAUUAUUGUGAUGAAAUUCAAACAAUCUAUUGGACGAGACCAAUUAGUGCAAUAGAAUAUCGUCAAGUUUAUCGAAAUCGUUCAGAGCUUUGCCAUGCAUUUUUCCUUCCUGCUCUACCCAAUCUAAAUGCAUUAUCAUCGACAGCAAAACGAAACGAAGAUCAUAAAUCCUUUGCCAAGGGAUCCCCUUGCUAUCUCAUUGUUUGCUUACGUUCGGGGAAAAUAUAUCUUCAAAUUCUAGGAGUAUUGCCAUGUGGAACUAUUGAUAUAUCAGAACAUAUAGAAAAAGUUGAUAACUUUAAAAUAAUGAACAUUCGUAUGAAUGCUACAUUUGAUGGAGUCAAUGUGAUUGUUAACGAUGGAGGUUGUAUUAAAGUGUUGACAUUUCUUAAUGGAAUUCUACACACAUCUACCUCGCCUAUGCUUGCUUUAGCUGCAAACUAUGCCCAUGUUUUGGAAACUCAGAAUUAUAUAAAUGACACAAUUCAAUGCAUGGUUGAAGCUUGGGAAACGGUUCUAUUGGAAAUGGAUAAUAAACUUACUAAAUAUGCAAAUUCACAGCCAGAAGGAUCACUUUCUGCUGACUUUUUGGAACUCAUGAUGUUCGGCUACGCAUCAACUGAGUUGGAACAGUUUUUGACAAAUGAAUUAACAGAAAAAGGAAUCAAAAAGCUGGGAAACUCAAUCGAGUUGAGCUAUUCAACAAUACAAAAUUUGGUUACCAAGCCUCUUUUAAGCGCAACAAUAAAUAUGUGUUUUUUCUUAAACACAUUCAAAGGAAUGAGUCGAAAUACGUAUUUCUACAAAGAUCUCGUCACUCCUGAAGCAGCCGAUGAAGCUGUUCGAGCUUGCGGUGCGUUUUUAAUGAAAAUACUUGAACUCCAGCAAAUAAUCGAUCAAUGUGUGAAUGAUAUGAAAAUAUUCUUUUGUUGGCUUUGUGUGGCUAUUGUCCGAUUAAUGAAUGAGACUGUUCCCGAAGAGAUGUCACAAGUUUCCCAAGAAGACAUCAUCUAUCUGGCAGACUAUCUGAACAACUUUGAUGACUGUCUUCUUCAGAAUGAUGAUGGUUCUGUAACAAAACGAAAAUUCAAUCUUGAAAAAGUUGGCCAGUACUUGGAAAAUGAAGAACUUCAACAACAAGCCAAAUGUGAUACCCAUCAUAGAUGGAACAAGUUACUAGAAGAAAAUGAAUGUUUAAAAAAUUGUUCACUAAUCUUUCCGCAUGACCAAAAACUCUCACUAAUUCAACAGCGUGACAAGAUGUCAGAAGCCAUUGGAAAAGUCUUCACUAAACCAAAUACCAGUAUUUCCACAGAUUUCAGUCACAUUUCAACACUUAUUUGUGCUCCCGAAACACCAGCAGAUUUUCAAGUUAAAAGUACAUUCAUUGUGAGUGAAUCUGCACAAGCUGAUAUGCUGGCCCUUACAGUGGGUAUUGCCGAGUUCAUGAUAAUUGAAUUCCAACUUACAACGCCUUCUGUAAAAUGCACUCGUUUGAAUCUCAAGCCAAGUCCAUUUACUCCAGUUCAUCUGGCCCAAACUUAUAGUAAUUUGUCAGUAGUUGAUUUGCAGUUUUACAAUGACUUGACUUUGUCAUUGCUUUUACAAAAUACUAACCAGACAGAUGGAAAAAUUCAAAAUUAUUUUGUACAAUUGCCCAUGGAAACAAUCAAUGGAAAAUACUCUCAACAUCGUAUUGCUGAGAUGAUGUAUUUAGCAGAUUUAUCUAUGUGGCAUAGUUUAUUGGAUAUAGUUGAUAAUAGCUUUUUAAAAGCAGUUGAUGGUACUUGCACAAGUAUGGCUGUAUCUGGCAGUCGUAAGGUGGCAGCUGUUUUAUCAGAAAAUUAUAAAAAGAUAAGUAUCUACGAAAUGGAAGUUGAAGACGAUGAAGAUGACGUUGAAAUGUCGCACAAUUCAUUUUUAGAUACUAGUAAGGAAUCUGCUGUGUCAACUGAAUAAAAAUGUUAUAUAAAUAAUGCAUGUUAAAAACAAGAUCUUAAGAAGUUACUACUUACUUAUUAUGAUAGAUAGCAGUCUCCAAUUUUGCAAUCCAAGUCGUUUUAUGUAUAAACAUAUGGGUUGUUAAGUUAAAAGCCCAUUUCUUCAUAAUAUAUGGUA